RNAcentral lists this unclassified non-coding RNA (161 nucleotides) under uncultured Humicola. Its description in RNAcentral is "sequence contains ITS1". Lineage: Eukaryota; Fungi; Ascomycota. The record is from RNAcentral.
AAGAGUUGCAAAGCUCCCAAACCAUUGUGAACGUACCUUCAACGUUGCUUCGGCGGGUUGGCCCCGGCCUCCGGGGUCUCCGGCCCUCCUCGGGCGCCCGCCGGAGGUAUCUAACUCUUGAACUUUUAUGGCCUCUCUGAGUCUUCGUACUUAAUAAGUCA